Molecule: ribosomal RNA, 470 nt
Filed under: Sarcocystis falcatula
Lineage: Eukaryota; Apicomplexa; Conoidasida; Eucoccidiorida; Sarcocystidae
Also listed under: 1 other name
Description: SSU rRNA
Rfam family: Eukaryotic small subunit ribosomal RNA
Source: RNAcentral
AAGCCAUGCAUGUCUAAGUAUAAGCUUUUAUACGGCGAAACUGCGAAUGGCUCAUUAAAACAGUUAUAGUUUAUUUGAUGGUCUUUACUACAUGGAUAACCGUGGUAAUUCUAUGGCUAAUACAUGCGCACAUACCUCUUCCCUCGUGGAAGGGUAGUGUUUAUUAGAUACAGAACCAACCCACCUUCGGGUGGUCCUCAGGUGAUUCAUAGUAACCGAACGGAUCGCAUUAUGGCCUUUUGGUCGGCGAUGGAUCAUUCAAGUUUCUGACCUAUCAGCUUUCGACGGUACUGUAUUGGACUACCGUGGCAGUGACGGGUAACGGGGAAUUAGGGUUCGAUUCCGGAGAGGGAGCCUGAGAAACGGCUACCACAUCUAAGGAAGGCAGCAGGCGCGCAAAUUACCCAAUCCUGACUCAGGGAGGUAGUGACAAGAAAUAACAACACUGGAAAUUAUAUUUCUAGUGAUUG